Molecule: ribosomal RNA, 781 nt
Filed under: uncultured bacterium
Lineage: Bacteria
Description: bacterial SSU rRNA
Rfam family: Bacterial small subunit ribosomal RNA
Source: RNAcentral
UGCAGUNNNNNAAUAGUAGUAAUACUAUUAGUGGCAAACGGGUGAGUAAUACGUAGGAAUCUACCCUGUAGUAUGGGAUAACAGUUGGAAACGACUGCUAAUACCAUAUACGCUCCAUGGAGGAAAGAUUUAUCGCUAUAGGAUGAGCCUGCGCUAGAUUAGGUAGUUGGUGGGGUAAUGGCCUACCAAGCCAAUGAUUUAUAGCUGGUCUGAGAGGACGAUCAGCCACACUGGAACUGAGACACGGUCCAGACUCCUACGGGAGGCAGCAGUGAGGAAUAUUGGACAAUGGGCGCAAGCCUGAUCCAGCAAUGUCGCGUGAAUGAUGAAGGCCUUAGGGUUGUAAAAUUCUUUCGGUGGGGAAGAAAAUGACUGUACCUACAGAAGAAGCUCCGGCUAACUCCGUGCCAGCAGCCGCGGUAAUACGGGGGGAGCUAGCGUUUUUCGGAUUUACUGGGCGUAAAGGGCACGUAGGCGGUUAGUAAAGUUGAAAGUGAAAGCCCUAGGCUUAACCUAGGAAUUGCUUUCAAAACUCACUAACUAGAGAACGAUAGAGGAUAGCAGAAUUCCUAGUGUAGAGGUGAAAUUCUUAGAUAUUAGGAGGAAUACCGGUGGCGAANGCGGCUAUCUGGGUCGGUUCUGACGCUGANGUGCGAAAGCGUGGGGAGCAAACAGGANUAGAUACCCUGGUAGUCCACGCUGUAAACGAUGAGUGNUAGGUGUUGGGGCUUUUUAAAGUUUCGGUGCCGUANCUAACGCAUUAAACACUCCGNCUGGGGAG